CAGUCAUUGUAAUUUUAUUUCACUUAAGUUGUGUUCAGAAUUUCUUAUUUUGUGUAAGAAGAGGAAGAAGACAUUCAUUACGGAUUUAGAACAACAUGAAUGUGAGUAAAUGAGAUGCAAAUUAGCUAUGCUAUACUCUCUAUAUGCAAUACAUAUUUUCCAGUUUUGACUGGGAUAAUGUUUCUUUUGUACUGUCCCUAUACAAAUAAACUUAUAAAUAAAAUAAAUAAAUAAUUAGUUAUAAUUUUUGGCUGAACUAUCCCUUUAACGCAGGCCUAAGUGCCCCCUCACAGAAACAUAUAUGCAUACUAUUCUAUUAUUUACAACAUAUUUAAGUUUCAAAGAUAAUUGACUAAAUGUGGAUGUGUAUACAAACAGACUUACUUUGCAAGGGUUAAUGAACUUAUACUGCAUCUCGCUCCAUGUCACGUUAAGUUAGCGCUUGAGCGACCGCGCGUCUGUGUGGCGGGAAGCUGGAGGGCUUGGGGUUUGUAAACAGGAAGUCUACGUUACACUCACUGUACCUGAUGCGUGGGUGAAAGAACAGGGGCAGCCCGAGCAAAAUGUGCAACGCUGGGAUCCAAAAAUGGCAGGUGUCUGCUCUGGUCUCAUCUACCCAAGGCAUUUGGUAAGCAUUGGUAUCACUACUAAUCUACAUGCUGGGUUGAUGGUCCUUUUUCCAGGGUGCUGUAAAGGUGGUGCCUUCAUUUUAGUUUCCGUUGACGGGCCUCAGUCGAGCAAAGUCAGCGGGGGUCAGUUUACCCUGUGCAGGGCAAGCCAAACAGAUAGAUACUUCAUGUCUCAUACUGCAUCUCUCCUCCCCUCCGACUCAGAUAGUCCCAGAACAUGGGCAAAGGGCCAAAGACAUCAAUCUGUGAAGUAGAGUUUCAGAAAAAAAUGUUUCCAUGUGGCUACACAUGAUUUUUAGAGACCGCAUAUUCACUGCUGUAUUUCAAAGACUUCAAAUAAAUCUAGAUUCUUGUUCGAGAAUGAAAGGCUUCAGCUGGUGAUUGUCACUGUUUGAAUUGAUGGGGGUUGGUGAGGCUUUGGGGUUGUGGAGCUUGGCCUAGUUUCAUGUCUGAUCACUACCGUAUGCACCAAAGAUCUCGCCCUCCACUGCAGGUAGUCAACGAGUGCAGCACAGCGCACCCCAAACAUCUGUGUGAUACAGCAGCCAUGGAGGAGUAUCUUUGAAGAGCUCAGAUGGCUUUUAGUGAUGUGGAAAGAGAGAAGUAAAUCAGAGAUUAGAGGGUUCGGCGAGGAGGAUGAAUGCAUGAAAAGGUUAGGGGUUCAUACUGUGCAGUGCUGUAGAGCAAACAGAUAAAAGGUGGGUUCUAUGCUCAGAUGACCUGGAAAUGGAAAACUGUGAAGAUGCACACGGUGAGAAGCUUCAACCGACAGCAGGUGCUCUGUUCCGUAGAAUGGUUUGGUUUCCCACUGAUUGCAUUUUGAGAUAUUUUUGUUCAGUAUUUUUAAACAUAACCGAAACAUACAUUCUGCCAUUCUCAUUACCAUAAUUAAUCCAGCUAUAGUUUUACUUCUGAGCUUUGUCAUUAUUCUUAUGAUUGUUA
Carassius auratus (goldfish) is the source of this 1571-nucleotide long non-coding RNA. NCBI's taxonomy places the organism in Eukaryota, Metazoa, Chordata, Actinopteri, Cypriniformes, Cyprinidae. The record is from Ensembl.